Molecule: ribosomal RNA, 468 nt
Filed under: uncultured bacterium
Lineage: Bacteria
Description: partial 16S ribosomal RNA
Rfam family: Bacterial small subunit ribosomal RNA
Source: RNAcentral
GACGAACGCUGGCGGCGUGCUUAACACAUGCAAGUCGAACGGACAGUCCCUGCUUUUGUGGGGUGCUCGAGUGGCGAACGGGUGAGUAACACGUGAGUAACCUGCCCUUGACUUUGGGAUAACUUCAGGAAACUUGGGCUCAUACCGGAUAGGAGCUCCUGCUGCAUGGUGGGGGUUGGAAAGUUUCGGCGGUUGGGGAUGGACUCGCGGCUUCUCAGCUUGUUGGUGGGGUAGUGGCUUACCAAGGCUUUGACGGGUAGCCGGCCUGAGAGGGUGACCGGCCACAUCGGGUUUGGGAUGAGGCACAGACUCCAACCGGAGGCAGGGGUGGGGAAGGUAGCAUAGCGGGAGGAGGGCAGACGUAGCAAAGCCGUGUGGGGUAUAAGGGGCUGGGGGUUGGAUACCGCUAUUGCUUCAGAGGAAGCGUGAGUGACGGUAACCGGAAAAGAAGCCCCGGCUAACUACGUG